UACGUAGGGUGCAAGCGUUAUCCGGAAUUAUUGGGCGUAAAGGGCUCGUAGGCGGUUUGUCGCGUCUGCCGUGAAAGUCCGGGGCUCAACUCCGGAUCUGCGGUGGGUACGGGCAGACUAGAGUGAUGUAGGGGAGACUGGAAUUCCUGGUGUAGCGGUGAAAUGCGCAGAUAUCAGGAGGAACACCGAUGGCGAAGGCAGGUCUCUGGGCAUUAACUGACGCUGAGGAGCGAAAGCAUGGGGAGCGAACAGG
RNAcentral lists this ribosomal RNA (253 nucleotides) under uncultured bacterium. RNAcentral describes it as "partial 16S ribosomal RNA". It matches the Rfam family "Bacterial small subunit ribosomal RNA", at positions 524 to 776 of the family's 1533-position model. The record is from RNAcentral.